RNAcentral lists this ribosomal RNA (730 nucleotides) under bacterium SCSIO13315. Its description in RNAcentral is "bacterial SSU rRNA". It matches the Rfam family "Bacterial small subunit ribosomal RNA", at positions 77 to 821 of the family's 1533-position model. The record is from RNAcentral.
AGCUUGCUGGGUGGAUCAGUGGCGAACGGGUGAGUAACACGUGAGCAACCUGCCCCAGACUCUGGGAUAACUACCGGAAACGGUGGCUAAUACCGGAUAGGACUUCGUGCCGCAUGGUGCGGGGUGGAAAGUUUUUUCGGUCUGGGAUGGGCUCGCGGCCUAUCAGCUUGUUGGUGGGGUGAUGGCCUACCAAGGCGACGACGGGUAGCCGGCCUGAGAGGGCGACCGGCCACACUGGGACUGAGACACGGCCCAGACUCCUACGGGAGGCAGCAGUGGGGAAUAUUGCGCAAUGGGCGAAAGCCUGACGCAGCGACGCCGCGUGGGGGAUGAAGGCCUUCGGGUUGUAAACCUCUUUCAGCUCCGAAGAAGCGCGAGUGACGGUAGGAGCAGAAGAAGCACCGGCUAACUACGUGCCAGCAGCCGCGGUAAUACGUAGGGUGCAAGCGUUGUCCGGAAUUAUUGGGCGUAAAGAGCUCGUAGGCGGUCUGUCGCGUCUGCUGUGAAAACUCGAGGCUUAACCUCGGGCUUGCAGUGGGUACGGGCAGACUAGAGUGCGGUAGGGGAGACUGGAAUUCCUGGUGUAGCGGUGAAAUGCGCAGAUAUCAGGAGGAACACCGGUGGCGAAGGCGGGUCUCUGGGCCGUAACUGACGCUGAGGAGCGAAAGCAUGGGUAGCGAACAGGAUUAGAUACCCUGGUAGUCCAUGCCGUAAACGUUGGGCGCUAGGU